RNAcentral lists this ribosomal RNA (253 nucleotides) under uncultured bacterium. RNAcentral describes it as "partial 16S ribosomal RNA". It matches the Rfam family "Bacterial small subunit ribosomal RNA", at positions 524 to 776 of the family's 1533-position model. The record is from RNAcentral.
UACGUAGGGUGCAAGCGUUGUCCGGAAUUACUGGGUGUAAGGGGUUCGUAGGCGGUGCGGCAAGUCGGGAGUGAAAUCUCUGGGCUUAACCCAGAGGCUGCUUCCGAAACUGCUGUGCUUGAGUGUGGGAGAGGCGCGUGGAAUUGCAGGUGUAGCGGUGAAAUGCGUAGAUAUCCGCAGGAACACCCGUGGCGAAAGCGGCGCGCUGGACCACUACUGACGCUGAGGAACGAAAGCUAGGGGAGCAAACAGG